RNAcentral lists this ribosomal RNA (84 nucleotides) under Castor canadensis (American beaver). The record is from RNAcentral. Lineage: Eukaryota; Metazoa; Chordata; Mammalia; Rodentia; Castoridae.
UUCUGUGGCCAUACCACCCUGAAAUUGCCUGAUCUUGUCUACUCUUAGAAACUAAGCAGGGUUGGAUGGGCAAAGUUGCUGAGA